AACCCACCCAUCUUCAACCCCGUCACCUAUGGAGUGACCAUUCUUGACAACAGGCCAGUUGGAGACGUGGUUCUCAGAGUGACAGCUUCAGAUGCUGAUAACCUGCCCGGCAGCCAGGUGGUAUAUGAGUUUGUUAACCGGCCUGCCUUCUUUGCCCUCGAUGAUUUAUCUGGGAACAUCACCCUGGAAAACAGUGUUCUCUUUGAUUCCAACACACAGUAUAAUUUCCAAGUUCGAGCAUAUGACAGGUUGGACAAACCUCGAAGUGUAACAGCUGAUGUGACGGUGUCUGUCAUCAGGAAUGCCAACGCUCCGCGCUUCCUACGUCAACCGUAUCAGACAACAAUCUCUGAGUACUAUACUGUAGGUUCUGAGGUCCUCAACACUACAGCAGUGGAUCUGGAUGGGGAUGUGCCACUGUACUCCUUUGUGAACCCGACAAAUGAGUUUGCCAGCGGGUUUUACAUUGACCCUCGUGAUGGAAUCAUCUAUCUGAGGAGUUCCAUGGAGAGG
Long non-coding RNA from Haliotis rubra (blacklip abalone), 513 nucleotides. RefSeq lists it as uncharacterized. The transcript is spliced from 4 exons. Lineage: Eukaryota; Metazoa; Mollusca; Gastropoda; Lepetellida; Haliotidae. The record is from RefSeq and is a predicted model, not a curated record.